This 1498-nucleotide ribosomal RNA is filed under the name metagenome. RNAcentral's name for it is "bacterial SSU rRNA". It matches the Rfam family "Bacterial small subunit ribosomal RNA". The record is from RNAcentral.
AGAGUUUGAUCCUGGCUCAGGAUGAACGCUAGCUACAGGCUUAACACAUGCAAGUCGAGGGGCAGCAUGUCGGUUGCUUGCAACCGACGAUGGCGACCGGCGCACGGGUGAGUAACGCGUAUCCAACCUACCCUUGUCCAUCGGAUAACCCGUCGAAAGGCGGCCUAACACGAUAUGCGGUUCACAGCAGGCAUCUAAGGUGAACGAAAUGUAAAGGAGAAGGAUGGGGAUGCGUCUGAUUAGCUUGUUGGCGGGGUAACGGCCCACCAAGGCUACGAUCAGUAGGGGUUCUGAGAGGAAGGUCCCCCACAUUGGAACUGAGACACGGUCCAAACUCCUACGGGAGGCAGCAGUGAGGAAUAUUGGUCAAUGGACGGGAGUCUGAACCAGCCAAGUAGCGUGCAGGAUGACGGCCCUAUGGGUUGUAAACUGCUUUUAUAGGGGGAUAAAGUGUGCCACGUGUGGCAUAUUGCAGGUACCCUAUGAAUAAGGACCGGCUAAUUCCGUGCCAGCAGCCGCGGUAAUACGGAAGGUCCGGGCGUUAUCCGGAUUUAUUGGGUUUAAAGGGAGCGUAGGCCGUCUUAUAAGCGUGUUGUGAAAUGUCGGGGCUCAACCUGGGCAUUGCAGCGCGAACUGUGAGACUUGAGUGCGCAGGAAGUAGGCGGAAUUCGUCGUGUAGCGGUGAAAUGCUUAGAUAUGACGAAGAACUCCGAUUGCGAAGGCAGCCUGCUGUAGCGCAACUGACGCUGAAGCUCGAAAGCGUGGGUAUCGAACAGAAUUAGAUACCCUGGUAGUCCACGCCGUAAACGAUGAGUACUAGCUGUCGGAGGUUACCCCCUUCGGUGGCGCAGCUAACGCAUUAAGUACUCCGCCUGGGAAGUACGCUCGCAAGAGUGAAACUCAAAGGAAUUGACGGGGACCCGCACAAGUAGCGGAGCAUGUGGUUUAAUUCGAAGCAACGCGAAGAACCUUACCUAAGCUUGACAUCCUUUUGACCGAUGCCUAAUCGCAUCUUUCCCUUUGGGGACAGAAGUGACAGGUGGUGCAUGGUUGUCGUCAGCUCGUGUCGUGAGAUGUUGGGUUAAGUCCCGCAACGAGCGCAACCCUUGCCUUUAGUUGCCAGCAUUAAGUUGGGCACUCUAGAGGGACUGCGAGGGAUAACCUGGAGGAAGGUGGGGAUGACGUCAAAUCAUCAUGCCCCUUAUGCUUAGGGCUACACACGUGCUACAAUGGGUGGUACAGAGGGCAGCCAAGUCGUGAGGCGGAGCUAAUCCCUUAAAGCCAUUCUCAGUUCGGAUUGUAGGCUGAAACUCGCCUACAUGAAGCUGGAGUUACUAGUAAUCGCAGAUCAGAAUACUGCGGUGAAUGCGUUCCCGGGUCUUGUACACACCGCCCGUCACACCACGGGAGUUGGGGGCGCCCGAAGCCGGAUUGCUAACCUUUUGGAAGCGUCCGUCGAAGGUGAAAUCAAUAACUGGGGUGAAGUCGUAACAAGGUA